UAUUCUCAACACUAUUAAACAGUGCUCUAAAAGAUUGAAAAUCUAAUGUGCUAUCUACACCAUAAGAAC
This 69-nucleotide transfer RNA is filed under the name Loligo uyii. RNAcentral's name for it is "Loliolus uyii tRNA-Glu". The record is from RNAcentral. Lineage: Eukaryota; Metazoa; Mollusca; Cephalopoda; Myopsida; Loliginidae.